RNAcentral lists this unclassified non-coding RNA (209 nucleotides) under Hevea brasiliensis (rubber tree). The record is from RNAcentral. Lineage: Eukaryota; Viridiplantae; Streptophyta; Magnoliopsida; Malpighiales; Euphorbiaceae.
GAAAUUUUUUACUCUGGAAAGUUCAGUCAAUGGAAUGCCAAUGAGCAAAUUGUGUUUCCCAUGGAAGACCAAAAAAGGUUAUCAAGAUGAGGUAUGAAGAUUGUGUUCAUCAUCAUCAUCAUCAUCAAAGGCAUAGAUCAGUACACUUGAGAUCAUCAAUAAAAAAGUCAACCUGAUCCAACGGUUGAAAAUUCAGAUCGAAAGGUAAG